RNAcentral lists this ribosomal RNA (253 nucleotides) under uncultured bacterium. Its description in RNAcentral is "partial 16S ribosomal RNA". It matches the Rfam family "Bacterial small subunit ribosomal RNA", at positions 524 to 776 of the family's 1533-position model. The record is from RNAcentral.
UACGUAGGGUGCAAGCGUUGUCCGGAAUUAUUGGGCGUAAAGAGCUUGUAGGCGGUUUGUCGCGUCUGCUGUGAAAUUUCGGGGCUCAACCCCGAACUUGCAGUGGGUACGGGCAGACUAGAGUGUGGUAGGGGAGACUGGAACUCCUGGUGUAGCGGUGAAAUGCGCAGAUAUCAGGAGGAACACCGAUGGCGAAGGCAGGUCUCUGGGCCACUACUGACGCUGAGAAGCGAAAGCAUGGGGAGCGAACAGG